This 258-nucleotide non-coding RNA is filed under the name Lachnospiraceae bacterium. Its description in RNAcentral is "T-box sequence". It matches the Rfam family "T-box leader". From Rfam's summary of the family: Uncharged tRNA acts as the effector for transcription antitermination of genes in the T-box leader family. Lineage: Bacteria; Bacillati; Bacillota; Clostridia; Lachnospirales; Lachnospiraceae. The record is from RNAcentral.
CAAAAGGCAAUGAAAAGAACCAGUAGCCGCAACGAGCAUUUCAGAGAGCUGCCGCAGGGUGCGAGGCAGCAUGGGAAGUGCGGUGAACUCAUCUUGGAGCUGUGCGCCUGAACAGACAAGUCAUUCAGUAGGGCGCAACGGAUUACCUGCCGUUAUCCGGGGAAGGCAUUAUCGUGCUGAAGGAGUGCAUAUUUUUGUAUAAAAAUAUGAAGUAGAGUGGUACCGCGAAAGAAUAUGGAGAAGUCUUUCGUCUCUGCA